GAUCCUGGCUCAGAAUCAACGCUGGCGGCGUGCCUCAGACAUGCAAGUCGAACGCGAAAGUCCCCUUCGGGGGACGAGUAGAGUGGCGUCCGGGUGAGUAACACGUGAGUAAUUUGCCUUCGGGUGGGGAAUAACAGCCGGAAACGGCUGCUAAUACCGCAUGAUGCAGCGGCACCUCAUGGUGACAGUUGUUAAAGCGGGGGAUCGCAAGACCUCGCGCCUGAAGAGAAGCUCGCGGCAGAUUAGCUAGUUGGUAGGGUAACGGCCUACCAAGGCUACGAUCUGUAGCCGGCCUGAGAGGGCGGUCGGCCACACUGACACUGACACACGGGUCAGACUCCUACGGGAGGCAGCAGUCGGGAAUUUUGGGCAAUGGGCGAAAGCCUGACCCAGCAACGCCGCGUGAAGGAUGAAGUUUUUCGGAAUGUAAACUUCACAAGAAUGGGAAGAAUAAGUGGGGGCUAAUACCCUCCAUGAUGACGGUACCAUUUGUAAGCUCCGGCUAACUCCGUGCCAGCAGCCGCGGUAAUACGGGGGGAGCAAGCGUUGUUCGGAUUUACUGGGCGUAAAGGGCGCGUAGGCGGCGCAACAAGUCAGUUGUGAAAUCUCUGGGCUUAACCCAGAGCGGUCAACUGAUACUGUCGUGCUAGAGUGCGGAAGGGGCAACUGGAAUUCUCGGUGUAGCGGUGA
RNAcentral lists this ribosomal RNA (690 nucleotides) under uncultured Acidobacteriota bacterium. Its description in RNAcentral is "bacterial SSU rRNA". It matches the Rfam family "Bacterial small subunit ribosomal RNA", at positions 15 to 684 of the family's 1533-position model. Lineage: Bacteria; Pseudomonadati; Acidobacteriota. The record is from RNAcentral.